ACUGGAACUUACUGUAGGAUGUUCUGUGGACAUGAACAUGGUCACUGAUACAUGGUGGCUAGAGUUGGGAUCGAGAAGGGGACCAUGAGCUGGGGAUCAGUUCAGAGACUUGGAAGACCAAUCUCCAGGUCUGGGAUGUUAGAUGUUCCUUAAAAGGAGGAAGGAGUUUCCCAAAAAUGAAAGAGGAAUGUUUUUGGAGAACUCCGAGUGCUUUCUCUUCAUUCUGCCCCAUCCCCACCCCUGUGAGCAGCUCUACUGGCCAGUAUAUGAUUGUUACCUGCAAGUAUACUCAGCUCGGUGCAGAAGGCUGGAGAAUCAGAGAAGAGCAUGCUCUCUCUUAAAAAAGAAAAAAAGAAAAACAAUGCAUAGGGGACAGAAGUCUCAGUUUGGAUUGAACACAGCAAAUCAUGUACAAGAGAACAAAUAAUCUAAAACCACAAUGUGAAAGCAAGGAAAGAACUGGUAAUUAUACAAGUCACAAAGGACCACGGUGAUUGAACUGAAGUCCCUUGAUCAUUUCUUCUCAAGCUCGCCUGUGAAAAUAAAAGUAUCUCCAAAGUCCCCUCAAAAGCUUUGAAUAGGACACACUUUGUUGGCCCGCAUCCAGCCAGAACACAGGGAUCUGUAAUUUCAGAAUGUAGUUUUCUUGUUUGUAUCGUAG
This is a long non-coding RNA of Suricata suricatta (meerkat), 661 nucleotides long. RefSeq lists it as uncharacterized. The transcript is spliced from 3 exons. NCBI's taxonomy places the organism in Eukaryota, Metazoa, Chordata, Mammalia, Carnivora, Herpestidae. The record is from RefSeq and is a predicted model, not a curated record.